Hemicordylus capensis (graceful crag lizard) is the source of this 961-nucleotide long non-coding RNA. RefSeq lists it as uncharacterized. The record is from RefSeq and is a predicted model, not a curated record. NCBI's taxonomy places the organism in Eukaryota, Metazoa, Chordata, Lepidosauria, Squamata, Cordylidae. The transcript is spliced from 4 exons.
GGCUGGGAAAGAGUGAAGGGAUGCCUGGGGAUUGUAGUUCUUCAGAAUGCGAAAGUGGGGAGAGAAAAGAGUGGACUUCCAAAUUACAAUACAAUUUCUUUGGUUAGUUUAUAAGGACCUCUUCUUAAUAAAAAUAUAUCUGUUUUCUUAGAUUAUUGCCAGAGUGAGUAUAGAUAACCGAACCCGGGUUUUAGCUCAAGCAUUACGAAGAUCAUCUAACAGAAGAGUCUGUACCAACAGGGUUGAAGAAUUGACGUACCAUCUCUUGGAAUUUCCAGAAAGUAGAGGAGUUGCUAUUAAGGGGUUUAGUGGCACUUCAGACUCUUUGCAAACUUGAAGAGCUCACUGAGAAGCUUGUUCAUCAUCUCUUUGACUAUAUUUGUGGAGUGAGUACAGUGCACUGCAAUUUUACCCUAAUCGUUUGGCGGCAGGGAUAAAGAAAAGGUGAAAAUACGCAGAAAGCUCUUCUCCAAACCUGCUGUGUUUCUAAGCCACCAUCUCAGAGAUCUUUCUUCUUCUCUGCUCUACUUCUUCAAAUACUUCAUGAUGACGAGACUUGGAGGGGUAACACUAAUCAGUGGGAUGGAAUGCUCUAGCCAUACGCCCUAUUUACACACUAUGUUCAAUGCAUGUAAAAUCUAUGUACAGUGUACAAACAUACAUAUACACACAUACAUGACUAUUUUCACAUUAUGUUCAAUUUAUGUGCAGUAGUUACAUCCCUAACUCCAGUCUGUAGCUUAGAUUUGCACUAGGUUUUUCUGCCUUCAACUCUGGUCUGGCGGUGCCAGCAUUACAUCCAAAUGUUGGCACUGCAGUUUCCACCUUCUACAGCUAGAGUUGAGGGAGGAAGCUCCUCCAUCGCUCCGGCUGCUAUUGGCUGCCAGGGAUGUCCUUCAUUAACGAUGGAAACCCCGGUCAGAGACCACAGAGGGGAAGCUCUCUGUUUUGUUCAAAUGCA